Molecule: ribosomal RNA, 466 nt
Filed under: uncultured bacterium
Lineage: Bacteria
Description: bacterial SSU rRNA
Rfam family: Bacterial small subunit ribosomal RNA
Source: RNAcentral
AUGAACGCUGGCGGCGUGCUUAACACAUGCAAGUCGAACGGUUGUGACGGUGUAGUAAUACAUCGUUAUGAUAGUGGCAAACGGGUGAGGAAUAUAUAGGUAACCUGCCCUUUAGUCUGGGACAACUUGCCGAAAGGUGAGCUAAUACUGGAUACGUUCCUGAUUCCGCAUGGUUUUGGGAAGAAAGAUUUAUCGCUAAAGGAAGGGCCUAUAUCUGAUUAGCUUGUUGGUGGGGUAAUGGCCUACCAAGGCAACGAUCAGUAGCUGGUCUGAGAGGACGAACAGCCACACUGGGACUGAGACACGGCCCAGACUCCUACGGGAGGCAGCAGUGGGGAAUAUUGCGCAAUGGGCGAAAGCCUGACGCAGCGACGCCGCGUGAGUGACGAAGUCUUUAGGGAUGUAAAACUCUGUCAAGAGGGACGAUUAUGACGGUACCUCUAAAGGAAGCCCCGGCUAACUACGU